Rattus norvegicus (Norway rat) is the source of this 126-nucleotide small nucleolar RNA. Ensembl annotates it as small nucleolar RNA SNORA17. The record is from Ensembl. Lineage: Eukaryota; Metazoa; Chordata; Mammalia; Rodentia; Muridae.
CUUGCCCCUAGAGACUUUGCAGGUGUGGCUGCUGUGUCACAUGUGUGUCAGUAGGUGGCAGAGAGGAGAGAGGCUAUGGCUACAGUUCUGACCUAUGAACAUCUGAAUGAUUAGUGGCCCAACCUU